GCUAAAACGAAGAAGAGGAAAAGUAAUCAAUGUUUGACUUCAACAGAGAGCCGUGGUGCUGAAAUGCGGUGUUGUCAACUUUGACGAAGCUCGCCUCCGAGUAUCAUUCUGAACAAUUUUUUUCAGUAGGAAUGGUCGGGUGUUCACAGCACUCGUUAUUAAAAAAGGAUAAGUGGAAACUUAUCCAUAAGAUUGAAUAAAUUUUAUUUAUUCAAUGAAUAAGGGUGGUACCGUGGAAAGAUAAAUCUUUUCGCCCCUUCA
This 261-nucleotide non-coding RNA is filed under the name Halalkalibacter akibai. RNAcentral's name for it is "Bacillus akibai T-box sequence". It matches the Rfam family "T-box leader". Rfam says of the family: Uncharged tRNA acts as the effector for transcription antitermination of genes in the T-box leader family. T-boxes are found upstream of many aminoacyl-tRNA synthetase genes and some amino acid biosynthetic genes usually in Gram-positive bacteria. Lineage: Bacteria; Bacillati; Bacillota; Bacilli; Caryophanales; Bacillaceae. The record is from RNAcentral.